RNAcentral lists this unclassified non-coding RNA (146 nucleotides) under soil metagenome. Its description in RNAcentral is "partial internal transcribed spacer 1". The record is from RNAcentral.
CUGAGUACUACACUCUCUACCCCUUUGUGAACUAUUAUACCUGUUGCUAUUUCGGGCGGCGGCCCGCAAGGGUGCCCGGCCGGUCUCAUCAGAAUCUCUGUUUUCGAACCCGACGACUACUUCUGAGUGUUCUUAGCGAACUGUCA